CAGUCGCCACGGUAAUACGAAGGUCCCGAGCGUUGUUCGGAAUCACUGGGCGUAAAGGGAGCGUAGGCGGCGUGGUAAGUCAGAUGUGAAACCCCGGGGCUCAACCCCGGAACUGCAUCCGAUACUGCCAUGCUAGAGGAUUGGAGAGGUAGCUGGAAUUCUUGGUGUAGCAGUGAAAUGCGUGGAGAUCAAGAGGAACACUCGUGGCGAAAGCGAGCUACUGGACAAUAACUGACGCUGAGGCUCGAAGGCCAGGGUAGCGAAAGGGAUUAGAUACCCCCGUAGUCCCUGUCUCUUAUAC
This 301-nucleotide ribosomal RNA is filed under the name uncultured bacterium. RNAcentral's name for it is "partial 16S ribosomal RNA". It matches the Rfam family "Bacterial small subunit ribosomal RNA", at positions 509 to 807 of the family's 1533-position model. The record is from RNAcentral.